Molecule: long non-coding RNA, 9176 nt
Organism: Diceros bicornis minor
Lineage: Eukaryota; Metazoa; Chordata; Mammalia; Perissodactyla; Rhinocerotidae
Exons: 4
Source: RefSeq, a predicted model, not a curated record
CAAUCCCUCGCGGGCUGGCGCCGCCCCUACCCGCCCCUCCUUUCUCCGCCUGGCCCUUUUCUUUUUCAGGUGGAGGAGACGCCGGCGCCCCAUCCCGGGGGCGAGCCGACUCCCCGGAUCUGGGGCAGGGGAGAGGCGUCUCCCUCCUCGGGGCCGGGUGGUGAGCGCAGGAGGGAGGACCCAGAAGCGGGCUCUGCCUGGGCUUGCCUGGGCUUGUUCAGAGCCGGGCUGCUUCCCUCAGUGACCGUACAGAGCUGGGGGGAUUUCGCGAUUUUCUGGAGUCUUGGAGCCAAGCCCCGGGAAGGAGGGAGCUGGAAGCCCGCGCGACCUGCUCGCCGCGUUCUGGGGUGAGAGCAGAGACGCUAGGAGGAUGGCAGGAGACGCCUCAUUCGUUCACAACUUUUACUCCUGGAUCCACGCCCUGUUCAAGGCUCUGCAACAGCGGGUAAGACAGCAUCGCUGCCCUCACGGACUUUAAAGUCCAGUCAGGACAACAGAAGAAUCUCACUUGGGGCGGUUUCUGGAGUCUGGUGACCUGGAUCAGCAGCCAGUGCAAGACUGCCAUGGAGAGUGUCCUGAGCAGGUGAGUGCACAUCCAUGGAGGGGCCCAGGCGCUGGCCUCGAGUCUGAGUCCAGCCCCUGGCAGCCUUGCCAGGCCCGGAGGCAGCAGCACGCCCGACAGGUCGGACAGGUGGAGCCAGCCCCGCGGUUGCGGGUCCACAGCUGAAGGUCCGAUCCCUGGUCCUCCCUCAGCCCACAAAGCAGGUAACCCACCUUUUCAUUUUUUCUGCCGGUUUGGUUCGCUGUCAAUCAGGGAACACUUACAGCUUGAGAAGAAGGCCUUUGGGAUUAGCAGGGGAAGUCGUGAAUUUGUUUGGAGAGGGAUUUGUUGUGUUUGUGUGUAUGAAAUCUGGCCUUGGCAUUAGAGAAACAUUUCUAAUUGUCUGGUCCUUUGUUCUGAAAAGUAAAUUUUUUAUGGAGCCUGGAUGCUUAAUGGCAAAUUGGGAAGACAGGGUCCAGAAACGAUGAGAUUCUUUUUGUAACUGCAAAUGGCAAGCCUGUGGAAGGCUUUGUUGUGGUUAGGUGGCUGUCUGUCUUCCAUUUCCAUAAGGAGAGGUUGGGGUGGGGGCUGCCUCUGCUCAGCACCAGGGCUUGGCUUUUUCGGGGCAGCACCCUCAAUGCCUACUCAGAGAAACAUGGGGCAUGUGGGGCUUCUUCCAAAACUCAAAUUUAUAUUACAGCCCCUUGGGCUGGAUUGUAUUUUGAAAUUGUUUGAAGUUUUGAAAUCACCUCUCCCGUUAAGAAGACGAGACUUGUGAAUGCCAGGCUCCAGCAUUUUCAUUCCCACUGUAUUUAGCCAGUGAAUCUUCCCUUAGUCUGCCUUUUGGGGGAUUUCUGGCCUGAGGACAGGAAGGGAAGGAGCCCAGGUCUGAAGAACAAACCCAGGACUCCCCGCCUGAAGCAAGGACUGGUUUUGUCUUAUGUGACAUUGUUGAAAAGGUAUUUACCGUCUUCGUCUCAGCAGUCCAAUCGGUGCUCUCUCCUACCUGCUGCCGUCAUGGAAUGUCGCCCGGAUGCUUCCUGAGAAGAGGGCCUCCCUGGGAGUGAGAGGCUGAGGGCAGACACCAUGAUUGUCUAAAACUGCCCUUGCACGUUAUCCGUUGCAGUGAGAGGACAGGGAAGCUGAUUCUGCUGUCGUUGAACCUUUCGUGACAGAGACAUUGCUUUUUGUUAAGUGGUUUGAUUUUUUUUUUUUUAAUUCCGAGCCCAAAUUGCUUAGACUAUGGGAUAUAUCAGUUAGGAUUCCUUCCUCUGCAAGUAAGAGAAUGACUUAAAUAAUCAGAACAUUAAAAAUGUUAUAAAACGUUAAGUCCAGAGGUCAGGCAGCUUCGUGAUGGGUAAUAUCCAGUGGCCCAGCGAUGUCCAGGAGUAAGGUUCGCUCCGUGUGUCUGCUCUCUCAUCCUCCACAUACUGACUUCGUCUCCCACCAGCUCCCAUUCUCUUCCUGGGGGUCUCUUGCUAUGAAUGAGGAAACCUUUCCCGAAGCCCCUGCUGACUUUCCCAAGAAUCUCAUUGGCCAGAAUUAUGUCUCCUGCCCAGCCCCAGGCACUCAGUGGCAACGGAAGGGGUUAUGGUGAUGGAAUUCACGCGGCACAUAACUAGGGAGAAGAGGGUAGAUCAUCCGAACCAAAUCAGGGCCUGUGAUCGGGAGAAGAAGGGGCGUGUAUUUGGGGCAGGCAAUGGACAGUAUCUGCUACAUCAGAAAAUUUAUAUGUGUUCAGAUUUCUAACUGACUUGGGGGUAAUACAGUAACUCUUACUCCUAAAAUACAUAUAUUUUAUACUCAAUUGUUAAUGCAAAGGGUAGUUUUAGAUAAUCGUGGUGUCUACUCAGCCUUUUGCUUCCCAGGGAGGCCCUCUUCCCAGAAAGCAUCUGAACUGGUGGUUUUCAAGUGUUUGAGCUCUUUUCCCUCUUGGUGAACCUGCUGCCUCCCAGAGUUGGCUGCUCAAGGCUCCAUCCCCAAGAACUAGAAUAGGAAAAAAUGAGAGUUCUAAAUAUUGAGGUGUUACACGAACAAGUCUCCCAGCUCUGCAGAGGGAGAGGCAACAUGCUUCUGGCUGGCAGCUCCCAAGAGCCGGCAAGCACGCCCGCCAUUCACCCGGGACACUGCAGGAUCAGCGAGGGACAGGCAUGCACCAGCGUCACCCACUGAGGGUUUGCUGGAGUUUUCUGUUUUCUCCAGGACAGGCACAGGUGGCUCCUGAAACUCGGGAGCAACGAGAGUAGUGGCUGCCCUGCCGGGAAAGCUGGUUCCAGUGGACACAGACCUGAUGGUAAUUUUUGAGGCUGAAAAUAUCCAAGUCGCUCUUUCUUGGCCCCGUCCCUGGGACCCCCAUUCUUAAGGCAGGUUUCUCUCUGCCCUGGCUCCAACCUGGACGGUCUCCGAAGCUCCUCUGAGCCACCAUCAGCUUCCUGCAGCUGGGUCAGGUUUUCCGGAUGAGAUCAACGCAAGGGCAGAAGAAUUCCUUCGAGCUUUCGACGUCGUCGUGAAACGCAGGAGGAUACUUCUCAGUACAGUGCUUCUUCCACAGGCGGGUGCUUCAAGAACACCUGUUCUCCUGGUUCAGAACUGCUUGUGGUUGUAAUUUUGCAUGUCUGUGAUUUCUGCGCAUCUCUCCCCAUGGAUCCCCCAAGGGCCAGGACGGCCGCCGUCCUCCCUGUCCAGUCCUCAACACCCAGCGCAGCUUCAGCCCAUCUCAGGCGCUCGGUUGGUAGGUAAUGGGUGCGUGAAGGUCCGGUCAUGCUUUCUGAAAGACGUGCUGUGGGAUUAGGAGGCUUCCAGAGAGAAUUUCCACAUCUCCUGGAGAGGGAGGGCUUCUGCUUUCCCAGGAAUCAUAGCAUCCAAGAGGCUUGUUAUGACAGUCUACUUUCUCUUCAGCACUUAAAAGUUAAGUGCUAGGAACUUAAAACUCUCCUGGUAAAAAUGACUUCUGGUUUUCUCGCAUUCCUGCUGGUUCCUGGGCCAGCAGCGCUGGCUCUGCAGCAAGACGCCUCGGGCCUGGGGCUCAAAGGGCCGCUGUAAGGAGAAGUGAGGUGAAGGCAGAAUCAGGGCUCUGAGCUGAGCUCCACGCCUUUUAAGCAUCUUGUGUCCAUGCAGCAGAAGCUCGCCUGGUAACUGGACCAAAGGCCUUUCCGUAGAAAGGAAUGUACGUUUCAGUCUAAGUGUGUUCCCUCUGACCUCGGUGUGACUCUCCAGGAAAGUCUGACUGGGUUAAAGACUGCUGAUUUGGUGUAUUUUGUGUUUCAUGGAACAGUGAAAUUUCAGGCACUGACUGAUUAUUCACCUUUUCCUGAAGUCCUGCCUCUUCUGUCUGACUAGAAGAUUAUCCCUGAAGUCCAGGCCUCCUCUCUCUGACUGGGAAGAUUGUCUCUCUGUCUGACCAGAACUGCAAGACCAGCCCUGGUGCCUGGGGCGCAGCCUCCAUAGACAGACUCUUCACUCAGGUCACUGCCCGGAUUCAGAAAAUGUGGUUCUGCGUGGAAAUCAGGGGCCGGGCUGCUUAGCAGAAGGUGCAUCUGGUCUUGCUUUUCUGAGCCGUCUUCUCCUUUGGGACUGUUUCUGAGCCGGAGGGUGGGCUGGAUCAAGGCUGUGGCAGUUCCCUUGUCUUCUCACGCUCUGUUAGUGCUUGUUGAGACUUCUGCUGGGGUUCAGAGCAAGCCCCAUCCCCAAGAAACGCACAGGCCCUUCCACCUUCCCGACCCGACCUUUGUUCUCUGCAGCAGCAGUGCCAUGUGCUGGGUCCCAAAUCAGUGAGAGCUCGUGAGCCCACUCCCGCCCCUCACACCCCAUCUUUGGGUGGGCCAGCCGGUCCCAAAUGCUGUUCUGUGCUCACAGAGACCAUGUGUGCCACUGUUGCUUUAUUUCCACUGUGUCUCUGUCUUUACCUCGGGAAGUCUUUCUGUUGUCAGUAUUCGGGGGUCCCCAUCUGGGCGUUGAGAUGGGGGGAACUUGAUUCAGGCUCCUGCUUCUCCCUGUGCUUUUUGAGGACAUGGUCCCUGCAGAAAGUGCCUUUGGCCCCGUCCCAGACCUGCCGGAUCAGAAGCUCCGGAGUGGAGCUGGGAAACUGCACUUUACCAAGCUUCCAGGUGAUUCUUCCACACGAUAAAGCUCUAAUCUGAUAAAUGUGCUUUGCUGGAACACACCUUUGGGAGAAAAUUGGACAUAUUAGGAGCAUUUUUCCCACACUAAAAAAUCGUAAUUCAAGUCCAGUCUGGCUUGCUUUUUGGCAGAGCAUUUCAGGUUCAGCUGUUCGGGGGCAAAGGACUAAGGUAAGAGUGAACUCCCAUCUACACCCACUGGACAUUCAGUAGCCCUGGGAGGGGAGCCUUGUGCCUGCCUGCUGGGCAUGUGGGAAGGCCGUGGGGACUUCCUCCUCUUGGGCAGAGAGGUUGUGCUGACUCCUGAGCUGCUUUUAUCUGCACCACCUCGCCUGUGACUCCGGUUUGUCGGACCUCCCCUGCUGGGGUAGAGGUCACAUUGACCCUCCCGAGAACACCUCUGUACGUCCCCACACCCACACGGAAGAGGAACUGUCCCGUCGGUGGUCUACAUCCAAAGCGGUUAGUCCCUGGAUCCUCAAGCAGCCUCUGUGAUGGUCAGCAUGAGGUAUCAGCUUGGCCAGGCUGGAGUACCCAGUAAUUCAACCAAGCGCUAAUCUAGGUGCUGCUGGGAAGGCGUUUUGCAGAUAUGGGUAACGUCUACAAUCAGUUGAGUUUAAGUAAAGAUUAUCCUUGAUAAUGUGGUGGGCCUCAUCCAAUCAGUCGAAGGCCUUAAGAGCAGAGCUGGGGUUUCCCUGAGGAAGAAGAAAUUCCGCCUGCGGACUGCAGUGUCAGCUCUGCCUCAGAGUUUCCAGCCUGGCCUACCCAGCUGACACAAUCACGUGAGCCAAUUCCUUGAAAUAAAUCUCUUAGUCUGUAUCUCCUUCUGGUUCUGUUUCUCUGGCAGAACUCUGACUGACACACUCUCUAAAUGGUGCCCUGGAUGGGACAGAAAUCACUGCUGCUUUGUUCUAUUGUUUCCUUUUCAUAUAGACACGUGGAUUUUAAACUAUCGUCAUUGUCUAACUUUUUGUCUUCCAGGGAAGCGCUGGCUGGUUUUUCCCUCCUUCUCAGCUAGUGGUGGGCCAGCCCUGUUGGGAUCUGUUGCCAGUCUCAACUUUCUCCUCCAUCCUCUCUUUCCUCCCUGGAUUUCCUUCUUCUCCACAGGUCCUGGGGAGAGGCAGGACAGGCCUGCCCCAAGUCGUCGGCAGGGCCAGCUGUGAGUGUUUCUUUGGCAGUGUCUUAGCUGGUUGUUGUGAGUAAUAGUGAAGGAAGCAAUCAGCAAGUAUACUGCCCUAGAAGUGCUGCACGUUGUUGGGCCGAGAGGAAGAAACAGACGGGAGACGCGAGCCAGCGAGAGACGCCUGGGCCAGGAUGUUGGCAGCUCUGCUCCGCCAUGUCGGUUGGUGAGGGCUGCUGGGGAAGCAAGCUGUAGGCCCUGGGAGCGGCCUGCUCACAGAUGUUGAAGGAAAAAGACAUGCAGGCUUGCGUGUGGGCGGCUCCGGGCUGGGAAGGGUUUGCACACAGCCAUAGUAAUAGCCAGCACUUACGGAGCACUUACUAGGUAGGAAGCCCUGUUCUAAGCAUUCUAAAUGUGUUAUCUCGUGAGCAAGAGUCUGUCGUUCUCACCAUCUUAGAAGAAGACAGAGGUGCAAAGAGCAAAAGUAACUAAGGAUGCAACUGAUAGAAAGGGGGGCGACCUUUGAACCCAAGCAGUCUGGCUUGAGAAUCUGUGCCCUACCCACUGGCUCCUGUCCUUAGAGAUGGGCCUAGGGCAGUAUGGCUGCCCUGUGGACCUGCUUUGUGGCGAGACUUGAACGUGGACACACAUGCGUUCUCUCUCCCCCCAUGAGACGAAUUUCGAAUGCAAUCAUUAGCUUUGGAGAAUGCGCCUUUGUGGGCACUGGAAGAUGUGUCUGCCUUGGGGGGAUUUUUCUUUUCGGCUGAAGCCGGGCCCAGGAUGUUGACGGGAAUGAGAAUUUGGUGGUGUUUUCUGCUGCAGUGGCUGAUGGGAAAGGUUCCUCCCAAAGGGAGCUCAGUUGGGAAGAGAGUUCAGUUCUCUGGAUCCCACCAGCUCCACCUACAGGUGCCAGCUUGGGGUCCAGUGAACUGCGAGGCCAGCUGGAUUGCCAUGGCAACAGGAACCAGACCCAAGCCAGCAGAGAAGGGAGAGCGAAGACACAGUGGUGGCUUCUCCAGGUCUUGGACCACAGGGCACAUCCAUGGCCUCCAAUGAGCCUGGGAUAACCUGUUAGCGGGCUCUGCACGUUGACAGAACCCACUAAACCAGCCUUUGGUCCUUGCCUUUGUCCCGUUGGUGUCUUUGUAUCCUUUAAUGUUGAGCUAUGAGUACUCCAGUUCUCUGUCCCACUGAUUUUUUCCAUUGUUCUCCAAACUAGUGCUUAUAGGAAUUCACCCAGAUCUGAAAGGUGAAGCCAAAUGUUGGUGGCUUGCUCCUCUGACCCCAUUGACUAAGACAAGCCUCCAGCGUCCAUGAGGUGAUGGGGCUUCCGGCACCUCUGAUGCAGGCCAAGGACAGCCUUUGAGUGCUCCCUCUGCUCCCCUUCCAGCCACUGCACAGGGUACCUCCCCUGCUCAUGCCCACCUGCCUGGACCCCAUCUUUUGGCUCUGUCUUGCUAUCUCGGUGCUUCCUGGCUCUGAGGGGAGAGGAGCCCAUUUCCUUUCUGACCACUUGAUGAAAGUCAGAGGUCCCUUCCAGAGGUUUUCUGGGAUUCGGAGGCUGACCUUGGCCUUGACACUGUCCGGCUGAUAGGUCCCUCGUCCAGUCUAAGCCAGCCCUCUUGCUCUCAAUGCUGGAGAGCAAAGCGGGCAGCCAGGCUCCCUUUAGCAAACUGGAUUCCUGUGGGAAUUGUUCUGGUUCUCCUCAGAGCUCGGAGGGCUUGCUGCAGAGAGGGUCCCUUUGUGACGCCAUUGGAUUGGCCACGCCCAUGCCCAGUUGGCCACAAGUUCCCCUCUGCUCCCCAGGCCCGUGGAGCGGGGCGUGGGCUGGAGUGGGGCCGAAGGAAUGCCUGGAAUGCUGGCUGCUGUGACAGACCAACACUCAGAUCCCUCAGGGGAGUUUUGACCAGGGCAGCAUUUGGGAUGGCUUCUGAGCCGAAGUCUUUACAUUUUUCCCAGUUUUAGGCAGAAGUAAAGAAUGCCUGCCUUCUCCCAGCCACCAGUUGGUUCAGGGUCUUGAACUUUUGAAUUAAAGGGACCACACUCGUGGAUUAUGAUCUAAUGAACCUAUUAUUGUAGUUCAGGUAGAAUCAUUUGCAAAUAACCUCUUUUCCUAUCUACCUUUGCUUUCAGUUAUGCCAACAAGAAACAAGAGAAAUGGUCCUUCCCAGACAGAGUUCCCCCGCAGAAGUUCUUGGGUAAUAAGUAAGGAAACGGAAACAGCAGGCAGGCUUUGCUUCGGUUCAGGUCUUUGAUAAAACUGAUGUCUUUGUGGCAAUUUAAUUUACUUCUGCAGUCUUUAGAGCAGAUGUGUAGGAUAGAUUCUGUCAUCUUUGUAUCUGACAGUGGUAGAAGAAAUGUAUUGGGGUAUAUUUCCAGCUCUUUAUCUUUCUAUCACUCCUGGGGAGAUGGGAGGAGCAGUGUUGGCUCCAUGGGAGUGAGUUUAGAAUGGAUUGGGACAAAGAGGGGCUGUUUGUCUCUCUCUCUCUCUCUCUCUCUCACACACACACACACGCGCUCGCACACGCGUGCCCACUGGCCAUGAGUUUGGGGAGUUCGAGGUCCAGCAAGUUGAGGAUACGCUGACCCUUGGCAGAGGGCACUUCUGCUUUUGGGACUGUGCGGGCACAUUCCAGUCAAUAGCUGGUGGGUGGGAGAGAGGAGUCAAGAAUUUCACAAUUGGACUUGAGUUUGGAGGCAGGUGGAAUUAGGCGCAGAUUUUAUGUUUUGGGGGAAAGUAUUUGAUCUUCUUGACUAUGAGGCAAAUAGAUUAAAAUAUAUAUUUGGGGGCCGGCCUGGUGGCAUAGUGGUUAAGUUCACAUGCUCUGCUUUGGUGGCCUGGGGUUUGUGGGUUCGGAUCCUGGGCGUGGACCUACACACUGCUCAUCAAGCCAUGCUGUGGCGGCGUCCCACAUUCAACAUAGAGGAAGAUUGGCACAGAUGUUAGCUCAGGACCAAUCUUCCUCACCAAAAAAUAAAUAAAAUAAAAGAUAUAUUUGAUUAAAAAAUAUAUAUAUAUACAUAUAUAUUUAAUAAGCUCUGCAGAUUGUACUAAUAUCAAUUUCCUGGUUUUGAUGUUGUUCUGUAGUUACACAAGAUGUUACCACUGGGAGAAACUGAGUGAAGGGGACACAGGAUCUCUCUGUACCUUUUUUUUCGCAAUUUCCUGUAAAUCUAUGAUUAUUUCAAAAUAAAAAGUUAAAACAUAUAUAUUUAUAUUUGCCUGAAUGCUAGUGUGGUAUCCUGGAUUGGAUCCUGACUGAAAAGGGACAUGAGUAGAAAAUCUGGUAAAACACAAAAAAGGUCUUUGGCUUAGUUAAAAGUAAUAUACUAAUGUUAAUUUCUUAGUUUUGACAAAUGUCCCAUGGUUGUGUAAGAUGUUAACAUUAAAAGAAAC